RNAcentral lists this ribosomal RNA (429 nucleotides) under Gemmatimonadota bacterium. RNAcentral's name for it is "Gemmatimonadetes bacterium partial 16S ribosomal RNA". It matches the Rfam family "Bacterial small subunit ribosomal RNA", at positions 355 to 776 of the family's 1533-position model. Lineage: Bacteria; Pseudomonadati; Gemmatimonadota. The record is from RNAcentral.
UAGGGAAUCUUCGGCAAUGGACGAAAGUCUGACCGAGCAACGCCGCGUGAGUGAAGAAGGUUUUCGGAUCGUAAAACUCUGUUGUUAGAGAAGAACAAGGACGUUAGUAACUGAACGUCCCCUGACGGUAUCUAACCAGAAAGCCACGGCUAACUACGUGCCAGCAGCCGCGGUAAUACGUAGGUGGCAAGCGUUGUCCGGAUUUAUUGGGCGUAAAGCGAGCGCAGGCGGUUUCUUAAGUCUGAUGUGAAAGCCCCCGGCUCAACCGGGGAGGGUCAUUGGAAACUGGGAGACUUGAGUGCAGAAGAGGAGGGUGGAAUUCCAUGUGUAGCGGUGAAAUGCGUAGAUAUAUGGAGGAACACCAGUGGCGAAGGCGGCUCUUUGGUCUGUAACUGACGCUGAGGCUCGAAAGCGUGGGGAGCAAACAGG